RNAcentral lists this unclassified non-coding RNA (400 nucleotides) under soil metagenome. Its description in RNAcentral is "partial contains 5.8S ribosomal RNA, internal transcribed spacer 2, and large subunit ribosomal RNA". The stretch from base 1 to 121 matches the Rfam family "5.8S ribosomal RNA", at positions 35 to 154 of the family's 154-position model. The record is from RNAcentral.
GAUGAAGAACGUAGCGAAAUGCGAUAAGUAAUGUGAAUUGCAGAAUUCAGUGAAUCAUCGAAUCUUUGAACGCACCUUGCGCCCUUUGGCCAUUCCGAAGGGCAUGCCUGUUUGAGUAUCAUGAACACCUCAACUCUCAUGGCUCGCCAUGAUGAGCUUGGAUUUGGGGUCUUGCUGGCCUGUGGUCGGCUCCUCUCAAAUGGAUCAGCUUGCCAGUGUUUGGUGGCAUCACAGGUGUGAUAACUAUCUGCGCUUGUGGUUUUCCAUCAGAUAACCUUCAGUGAUGGAGGUUCGCUGGAGCUCAUAAACGUCUCCCCUAAGCGGGGACAGCCCUUUGAAUGUUUGAUCUCAAAUCAGGUAGGACUACCCGCUGAACUUAAGCAUAUCAAUAAGCGGAGGA